GCGCUUCACGCUGCUGUUCGUGCAGCACGUCCUGGAGAUCGCAGCCCUGAAGGGCAGCGCCAGUGAGGCGGCGGGGGGCCCUGAGUACCAGCUGCAGGAGAGUGUGGUGGCCGACCAGAUCAGCCUGCUGAGCCGAGAAUGGGGGUGGGUGCCGCCAGGGCUGGGGCGGGGUGGGGCGGGUGGUGGCCUGGAGGCCAGGACCAACCGGCCUCCUCUGAUCUGCCUGCUGCCCCCAGCUUCGCAGAACAGCUGGUGCUGUACCUGAAGGUGGCCGAGCUACUGUCCUCCGGCCUGCAAACUGCCAUCGACCAGAUCCGGGCCGGCAAGCUCUGCCUGUCGUCCACUGUGAAGCAGGGUGAGGGCUGCGACCGCUCAGCCCACAUGCCGGGUUGGGGAGGAAGCCCACCUUGCAACUGUCUGGGUGACAAGGUGACAGGGAGGCUGCUUGAGUAGGCCCCUGUGCAAAGGUGCAAAGGCCUUGGGGCCUGGCCCAGUGUGCAGAGCACAGAGGCCAUUGGGUCGGACAGCACCCUGGAGCCCAGUAUGCAGAGCACAGAGGCUGUGGGGUCGGAUGGCACCCGGGACAAGGUGCGGAGCCUGGCCACACCCUCAAGGCCACGGGGAGCCAGGGCUGUGGCAGGGAGGGAGGGACGUCCUCACUCAGUGCACCAGGCAGAUCAUGGCCACUCCAGCCCUGCCCCGUGUCUGCUGCACCCUGAGCUGACCACCCUCGUCCUUUGCAGUGGUGCGCAGGCUGAAUGAGCUGUACAAGGCCAGCGUGGUGUCCUGCCAGGGCCUGAGCCUGCGGCUGCAGCGCUUCUUCCUGGACAAGCAGCGGCUUCUGGACCGCAUUCACAGCAUCACUGCCGAGAGGCUCAUCUUCAGCCACGCUGUGCAGAUGGUGCAGUCGGCUGCCCUGGACGAGAUGUUCCAGCACCGUGAGGGCUGCGUCCCGCGCUACCACAAGGCCCUGCUGCUCCUGGAGGGGCUGCAGCACAUGCUCUCGGACCAGGCCGACAUCGAGAACGUCACCAAGUGUGAGUGCCAGGCUGGGCUGGGGGCUGGGGACUCUGGGCGUCUCCCUCACACUCCCCUCUCCCUCCACAGGCAAGCUGUGCAUUGAGCGGAGACUCUCGGCGCUGCUGACUGGCAUCUGUGCCUGACCUUUCUGGCCUGGCUGGGCCCCCCGUCCUGCCGAGCCCUGCAGAGUGGGCUCUGUGUGCUGGCUGGACUCCUCGGGACAAGCCCAUGGCGCUGAUCGCUGGUGCUGAGCCCUGCCCUGGGCCCCACGGACAGUCAGCCUGCCGGCCUCCCUGCAGCUCACGGGGCAGAACCAGCACAUCUGGAGCCACACAGCUUGGGGGUGUCUCCCAUCUUUUACAGGUGGGGAUCACAGAAUUUCUGCCCCUCCAGCUGCCUGGCUCAGCAGGCGUGGGUGCCACCACCCUCUAGCCCCAGGGCAGCCCCGGAGGACAGGCAAGGGCCUGAGACCACUGCCGACUCAAAGCCAAAGCGAGCUCCUGCUUAGGGCAGGUCAGCAGGCACUGUGCCCAGGAAGAGCCUGCGGCCUCGGCGUCCCCCAGUCUCCAGGAGCCUCUCCCUCCGAGAUACCCACCCAGCUUUGUCAAUCACCCAAGCACUUUAUGCAUAUAGAGACAGAACCUGGACCUCACCAGGGACUGCUGGGCAGCGAUUCCUGGCAGUGGCCUGGUGUUUGUACAUACACAUAUGCAGACACAUGCCAGGGCCCCC
This 1752-nucleotide small RNA is filed under the name Pan troglodytes (chimpanzee). RNAcentral's name for it is "retained intron". The record is from RNAcentral. Lineage: Eukaryota; Metazoa; Chordata; Mammalia; Primates; Hominidae.